RNAcentral lists this long non-coding RNA (626 nucleotides) under Elaeis guineensis (African oil palm). RNAcentral describes it as "long non-coding RNA (EGUI_LNC075877)". Lineage: Eukaryota; Viridiplantae; Streptophyta; Magnoliopsida; Arecales; Arecaceae. The record is from RNAcentral.
UCGAGCCGAAACUUCGCAACGACAGAAGAAAGAAACCAGAUCCCAACCAAACGCUCCUCAGACUCAAAUCUCACCACCAAGAUCUAAUCCAGAAAAAAGUCCAGAGAACUCCAGACGUUGGAUAAUAAAACAGACAGAAGACACCGAAAGAAAAAAACCUAGAGGAACCGUAUCGCCGCCAUGCCCGAAAGCUAUUGCUGACUCAGAUUACCACGCCGACUCCACUUCUCGAGAUUUUUCAGGCGAUGAGAGCAAGAACCGCCAUGGAAGGAGGUGGCCGAGGGGAUCAAGUUUGCGAACCUGUGGAAGAACUCUCCGAGCACCGAAGGCAUGGUCGAUGCUCGCAGAGGAUAAACCCUAGCCAGAGAUCCAAUGAGCCCAAAUCCGAUGCUCCUUUUAGCCGAAUCAGCCCAUAAACAGAAGAUAUCGGGAAAUCUGAGGGAAAAUAAAGCGACGGCGAGCACCUUUGAUCGGAAGAGCAGAGGAAAGCAAAUGAUGGCGAGGAAGUGGGAUAGGAAGGGGAUUUAAGAGAGGAUUGGACGCUUGGCCGAGGCACCGGCAAAUGGCGGUCGGUAGUCUUAUUCAAACCGACACGUGGCUCUGGAAGGUCCGUUGCUCGCUCGACG